AAUGCCAGGAAUCUCUUUAUUACCACGAUGGAGAUAAAUGAUAUGUCUAGGAGGGCUGUUCUGACAGUGGGCACGGCCGUGCAUUCUGCGCUUUCUGAAUUGGAAGAGAUCUGUUUCUGAUUGAGGCAGUACUGUAAUAGAAGUAAUAACACAUGAGCUGCUACCAACACCACCUCCAACAUCCUUUCCUAUCUACAAAUCAACUGCAGGCAAUAUUUGCCCAUCGAGAUCUAAAAUUGUAUAUGACUUCAUUUAGCACAAAUGUUGCCUGAAGUCUCAGCCACAGAUUAAUUAAAUAUCUUUGGGAAGACAGGCCUGAGAUAUCUGGCCGUAACUUUGAUCUCAUAUAAGCUCAGAAGAAUUGGCCCAAGAAAAGAUUCAGGUAAGUUAAUUUUGCAUAGUAGAUUUAUACGUGAAUUUAUCCUCUGUGCUCUGAUGAAGUUCUCAUGGGGGUUUGUUGGACUUCCAGCUCCAGGCAUUCCAGGGAUGCAUCUGGGCAAAGUCUGCACGAUUGGUGAGGGGAAUGGCCACCAACAGUGAUGGCAUUUGGUUUCAUUGUGCUUGUCCAAAGUAAUUUCAGAUGUAAUUUGUUUGUUGUAUAUGAGAUCCUCUGCUUUGCUACCACUGCUCUUGCAGCUGUGAGGCUCAGGGCAGUGCAUAGAACGAAUGAAUGUUUGCUCUGAAGGAAAACAGUGCAUUUCUGGGGAUGGAGAGCCUGCAUUCUAUUACAAGGAAAGUAUUUUCAGGUCUUACUUAUUGCUUGUGCACUGGGACACGUGUAUUAACAACAUUCUUCUUCCCUUCCUAUUUUCCAUGAUUGUUCAUCUGCUGAGAUUACUGAAGAAAUGUAACUGACCAACAGGAACGAUUGUAUGAAGUCAGAAUUAUCUCUGGGCUGAAUCUGGCCUCAGAUCCUGCACCCAGUGAGCGUGAAGAGCACACAGGGAAAACCAAAGUUAGGAGCAAUAGGACAGUGCAUGCUUCCAGAAGAAGUCUCAGCUGUGGGGCUGGCAAGGAGUAACAAACUGCCAUGCAGAGGAAGAGAAGCUCCCUGUGAUCCAGAUGGAAGCUGGGCUGCUGUGCAGGACUGCUGCAGUGUUGGACAGGUCUGCUUUGUACCAAAAAAUGCUCAAGUGUACCAGUGGAUGGGAGCUUCCAGCUGUUUGUCAUUGGUGUCUUCUGUGGAACACGAAGACAACACUUGGGCAAAUGCUCAGCACCCUUGAGGUUGUCAGGUAAUCCUUCUCUGCUCCAGAGCAGCAGAGCAGCCAUCAGAUGGCAGCACUCUGCACAAAGAACUUCCGAAACCCCCAAUCCUGCUCUUUUCCCACGAAGAGCCCGGGCCUUCUAGCAGGAGGAGAGCACUGAAUUCUGUGUGCCUGUGAAUAGAAACCACGCUGCCAAAGUUCAGAACAACUCCUGGAAAGCUUCAUAAAUCGAGCUUGUUUCAGUCAGCCCAUUUUCUCCAUUUGUAGCAGCUGACUGGGUGCUGAGUUGAACAUGCUUAUCUAUUUUGGUUAUUCUAGAUCAAUGUUUUUCGGUCCCUAUGUUUCAGCGAAGCGCUGGAGUUCUGUAUCCCUAAGUAUACAAGGUCAGUUAUAAUAUAUGUACAUUUUCUCUGUGUAAUAUCCUGGUGGAAAAAAGUACUUUUAAACAGUGAUAGAAUCCCAGUCUGGUAGUUUUAAAUUUACACCUAGAUAAGUCAGAUCUGAAUACAUCAUAGUUACUAUUUCCUACCGGCUUUUUCCAAAGCAGGGCAUUGUCACUGAACUCAUCUUGCUCACCCUUAG
This 1790-nucleotide long non-coding RNA is filed under the name Pavo cristatus (Indian peafowl). RNAcentral's name for it is "lncRNA (ENSPSTG00000003482.1)". The record is from RNAcentral. Lineage: Eukaryota; Metazoa; Chordata; Aves; Galliformes; Phasianidae.